RNAcentral lists this ribosomal RNA (444 nucleotides) under uncultured bacterium. Its description in RNAcentral is "bacterial SSU rRNA". It matches the Rfam family "Bacterial small subunit ribosomal RNA", at positions 355 to 796 of the family's 1533-position model. The record is from RNAcentral.
UGGGGAAUUUUGGACAAUGGGGGCAACCCUGAUCCAGCGACGCCGCGUGAAGGAUGAAGGUCUUCGGAUUGUAAACUUCUUUUAGAGGGGAUGAAUGCCCUGGUGAAUAGCCAGGGGUGACAGUACCCUUUGAAUAAGCCACGGCUAACUACGUGCCAGCAGCCGCGGUAAUACGUAGGUGGCAAGCGUUACUCGGAAUCACUAGGCGUAAAGCGCAGGUAGGAGGUUUAGUAAGUCUGUUGUGAAAGCUCCCGGCUUAACUGGGAGAGGUCAACGGAAACUGCUAGGCUAGAGUGCGGUAGAGGUAGCUGGAAUUCCCGGUGUAGCGGUGAAAUGCGUAGAUAUCGGGAGGAAUACCUAUGGCGAAAGCAGGCUACUGGACCGUCACUGACUCUGAUCUGCGAAAGCUAGGGGAGCAAACAGGAUUAGAUACCCCCGUAGUCC